This 443-nucleotide ribosomal RNA is filed under the name Flavobacterium terrigena. Its description in RNAcentral is "bacterial SSU rRNA". It matches the Rfam family "Bacterial small subunit ribosomal RNA", at positions 338 to 778 of the family's 1533-position model. The record is from RNAcentral. Lineage: Bacteria; Pseudomonadati; Bacteroidota; Flavobacteriia; Flavobacteriales; Flavobacteriaceae.
CCUACGGGAGGCAGCAGUGAGGAAUAUUGGACAAUGGGCGCAAGCCUGAUCCAGCCAUGCCGCGUGCAGGAAGAAGGUCCUAUGGAUUGUAAACUGCUUUUAUACAGGAAGAAACACCUCUACGUGUAGAGACUUGACGGUACUGUAUGAAUAAGGACCGGCUAACUCCGUGCCAGCAGCCGCGGUAAUACGGAGGGUCCAAGCGUUAUCCGGAAUCAUUGGGUUUAAAGGGUCCGUAGGCGGUUUAAUAAGUCAGUGGUGAAAGCCCAUCGCUCAACGAUGGAACGGCCAUUGAUACUGUUAAACUUGAAUUAUUAGGAAGUAACUAGAAUAUGUAGUGUAGCGGUGAAAUGCUUAGAGAUUACAUGGAAUACCAAUUGCGAAGGCAGGUUACUACUAAUAUAUUGACGCUGAUGGACGAAAGCGUGGGGAGCGAACAGGAU